RNAcentral lists this ribosomal RNA (495 nucleotides) under uncultured bacterium. RNAcentral's name for it is "partial 16S ribosomal RNA". It matches the Rfam family "Bacterial small subunit ribosomal RNA", at positions 28 to 507 of the family's 1533-position model. The record is from RNAcentral.
GACGAACGCUGGCGGCGUGCCUAAUACAUGCAAGUAGAACGCUGAAGGAGGAGCUUGCUUCUCCGGAUGAGUUGCGAACGGGUGAGUAACGCGUAGGUAACCUGCCUGGUAGCGGGGGAUAACUAUUGGAAACGAUAGCUAAUACCGCAUAAGAGUAGAUGUCGCAUGACAUUUGCUUAAAAGGUGCAACUGCACCACUACCAGAUGGACCUGCGUUGUAUUAGCUAGUUGGUGAGGUAACGGCUCACCAAGGCAACGAUACAUAGCCGACCUGAGAGGGGGAUCGGCCACACUGGGAGUGAGACGCGGCCCAGACGCCUACGGGAGGCAGCAGUAGGGAACCUUCGGCAAUGGACGGAAGUCUGACAGAGCAACUCCGCGCGAGUGACGAAGGUUUUCGGAUCGGAAAGCUCUGUUGUAAGUGAAGAACGGGUGUGGGAGUGGACAGUUCACACUGUGACGGUAUCUGACAAGAAAGGGACGGCUAACUACGUG